RNAcentral lists this ribosomal RNA (253 nucleotides) under uncultured bacterium. RNAcentral's name for it is "partial 16S ribosomal RNA". It matches the Rfam family "Bacterial small subunit ribosomal RNA", at positions 524 to 776 of the family's 1533-position model. The record is from RNAcentral.
GACGAAGGAUGCAAGCGUUAUCCGGAUUCAUUGGGCUUAAAGGGUGCGUAGGCGGCCUUGUAAGUCAGUGGUGAAAUCUUUCCGCUUAACGGAAAAACUGCCAUUGAUACUGCUUGGCUUGAGUACAGAUGCUGUGGGCGGAAUAUGACAUGUAGUGGUGAAAUUCGUAGAUAUUCGCAAGAACACCAGUGGCGAAGGCGGCUCACUGGCCCGGUACUGACGCUGAGGUGCGAAAGCGUGGGGAGCAAACAGG